AAGGUAGCGAAAUUCCUUGUCGGGUAAGUUCCGACCUGCACGAAUGGCGUAACGAUGGCCACACUGUCUCCUCCUGAGACUCAGUGAAGUUGAAAUGUUUGUGAUGAUGCAAUCUCCCCGCGGCUAGACGGAAAGACCCCAUGAACCUUUACUGUAGCUUUGCAUUGGACUUUGAACCGAUCUGUGUAGGAUAGGCGGGAGCCUGUGAAACCACAACGCCAGUUGUGGUGGAGGCGUCCUUGAAAUACCGCCCUGAUUUGUUUGAGGUUCUAACCUGGGACAGUCAUCCUGUCCGGGGACCGUGCAUGGUAGGCAGUUUGACUGGGGCGGUCUCCUCCUAAAGGGUAACGGAGGAGUGCGAAGGUACGCUAGGUACGGUCGGAAAUCGUGCUGAUAGUGCAAUGGCAAAAGCGUGCUUGACUGCGAGACCCACAAGUCGAGCAGAUACGAAAGUAGGUCAUAGUGAUCCGGUGGCUCUGUAUGGAAGGGCCAUCGCUCAACGGAUAAAAGGUACUCUGGGGAUAACAGGCUGAUACCGCCCAAGAGUUCAUAUCGACGGCGGUGUUUGGCACCUCGAUGUCGGCUCAUCUCAUCCUGGGGCUGUAGCCGGUCCCAAGGGUAUGGCUGUUCGCCAUUUAAAGAGGUACGUGAGCUGGGUUUAAAACGUCGUGAGACAGUUUGGUCCCUAUCUGCCGUGGGCGCUGGAAGAUUGACGGGGGCUGCUCCUAGUACGAGAGGACCGGAGUGGACUCACCUCUGGUGUACCGGUUGUCACGCCAGUGGCAUCGCCGGGUAGCUAUGUGGGGAAGAGAUAACCGCUGAAAGCAUCUAAGCGGGAAACUUGCCUGAAGAUAAGUCUUCCUGGAGGCUAGACCUCCCUAAAGAGUCGUUCGAGACCAGGACGUUGAUAGGAUGGGUGUGUAAGUGCUGUGAGGCACUCAGCUAACCAUUACUAAUUGCUCGUGAAGCUUGAUCCU
This 977-nucleotide ribosomal RNA is filed under the name human gut metagenome. RNAcentral's name for it is "bacterial LSU rRNA". It matches the Rfam family "Bacterial large subunit ribosomal RNA", at positions 1953 to 2925 of the family's 2925-position model. The record is from RNAcentral.